AAUGCCUUUUUCCAAAGAGCCAGAGACCGAGAGCAGGGACCUGCUCAUUUGAUUUCAGCACUAGCAGGUCUCUGGAGAAGAUAAUGAAAGGUGCUCAGAAAAGGGUAGGUUUCUACUCUGUAUAUCUCAGCAGGGGGCCAUACUACACACAGAACUCCAAGAAACUUCAGGAAAGAGCCAGAGGUUCAAAUAUUUUAAAAAGGGGUUUUUUGGUUUGUGAAGUCUGCUGGUUGAUUGGAGAACAUGAAUAUCAGGUGAGCUUCCUUCUGACCUUGAAGUAAGCCUCAUUUUCUCGUCUGCUUGGUAACCAAGUUGAAGUGUUUCUGCUUAGCUACAUAUUUUAGAUCUCACCCUUUAUGUCUCAUUCAGGAUUCUGAAGGCAUGUCCAUUGAGACACACUGGACACGCAAAUGUGUGUGGUGGAAGUGGUUAAUCUUCACUUUGUUGGACUGGAAGUUGUUCCGAUGUUAUGAAAGUGGAUCAUGUGCUCGUGUGGUGGGGACCUGUUUCAUCCGGCUCAGCUCGUCCACACUGUGCAGCAAAAUGAAUCAUGCCACACUUGAUCUUGCUGGACCAGUUCCUCCACACUUUUUAUUUUUCCUUUUGCUACAGGCAAUCAGCAGUCACCUCCCUAUAAGAAGUGGAGCUGUUGUGUGUAACCUAAAUUGCACUGAAUUCCUUAAGUCUGUCAGAUUCUAAACCAGUUUGGUUUUCACAGUAAGACAGCAUCGCGAUGCCGCUGAUGUUGGCCCUCCUUGUUGUCCACAUAUACUCAAUCCAGCAGCCUCUGCGCUGAGUGUCUGUCUCAGGACUUGCUGAAAGGACUGAAUCUCUGCAGUGUGGACGUUUACACCCUGCAAUCCUGUAAGCAGACUCUCAAAACUGGUGGAAAGCCUUGACCUGUUUUCUGUGCAUGCAAGAUUACUCAGAAGGAAUUAAGUUCAAGCAAGGAACAAGGAGGCGUCCUGUACACUGCAGCCGGAGUGCUGAAACGUUUGAUCUACACAAACACAGCUUACGGGGGAAGAUCGCAGAUUGUUCUGAGUCAGCUGAGAUGUGCUAUUUCUACGCAUAGCCCAGUCCACAAGCCCUCCUUAGAGAUGCCUCCAUUCCGUGGAUUGAGUAGUUUGGGGUGUUGGGGGGCUUGGAUUUUGGUCCUCAUUUCUGGCCCUAAGUAACUCUGUGAUUUAGGGAAUUGCAUGUUAUUUCUGUUUCUUCAUUUGUAAAAUGGCAGGAAAGGGGGGUGUGAGACACAGGUAAGAAAGAGGGCUUCUCUACCCUAGACAAUUCAUUUCCACAGAGACAACGGAGAGAGUUAAACACGAGUUCAAAACGAAACAGGGAAAACUGCUGAAGUCAAUCAAGGUGAUGUGGUCAAUACACGAAUCGAAGGGCUAAGAAGGAAAGUCGGAGGGUGUGUAAACGUAAAUCUUGACGUAACGCAAUGCUACCAAAUAUUUUUCUAAUGCUUUCUCCUCUCCCUCUUCUUCAAUUUGCUGUUUGUAAAUGUAAAU
Long non-coding RNA from Equus caballus (horse), 1514 nucleotides. NCBI's taxonomy places the organism in Eukaryota, Metazoa, Chordata, Mammalia, Perissodactyla, Equidae. The record is from Ensembl.